This 207-nucleotide long non-coding RNA is filed under the name Lathyrus oleraceus (garden pea). RNAcentral's name for it is "Pisum sativum (pea) long non-coding RNA (PSAT_LNC034391)". The record is from RNAcentral. Lineage: Eukaryota; Viridiplantae; Streptophyta; Magnoliopsida; Fabales; Fabaceae.
GAAAACCUGAGAAUUUUCAUUUUGAAAAUUGAGUUUGAAUCUCACUGUUUGGAGAUUCAAAAACUCCAGGAUCCAAAGCUUUGUUCCAUUUCCAAACCACUUCUACAAGCUUCUUGAGUGUGAUCAAGCAAGGAUUGAAGCAAGCAAGAUCAAGUUCUGCACAGCAAUGAAGGUAUUUUCCAGAAAUUUUCUUCUCUCUGAUUCUCA